AGAGAUGUAGCUCAGUGGGUAAAGUGCUGACCUGGCAUGCCCAGAGCCCUGGGUUCAAUUCCCAGUCUCUG
Molecule: transfer RNA, 71 nt
Filed under: Rattus norvegicus (Norway rat)
Lineage: Eukaryota; Metazoa; Chordata; Mammalia; Rodentia; Muridae
Rfam family: tRNA
About the family: Transfer RNA (tRNA) molecules are approximately 80 nucleotides in length. Their secondary structure includes four short double-helical elements and three loops (D, anti-codon, and T loops).
Source: Rfam by way of RNAcentral